RNAcentral lists this ribosomal RNA (253 nucleotides) under uncultured bacterium. Its description in RNAcentral is "partial 16S ribosomal RNA". It matches the Rfam family "Bacterial small subunit ribosomal RNA", at positions 524 to 776 of the family's 1533-position model. The record is from RNAcentral.
UACGAAGGGGGCUAGCGUUACUCGGAAUCACUGGGCGUAAAGGGUGCGUAGGCGGGUCUUUAAGUCAGGGGUGAAAUCCUGGAGCUCAACUCCAGAACUGCCUUUGAUACUGAAGAUCUUGAGUUCGGGAGAGGUGAGUGGAACUGCGAGUGUAGAGGUGAAAUUCGUAGAUAUUCGGAGGAACACCAGAAGCGAAGGCGGCCAACUGGCCCGAUACUGACGCUGAGGCGCGAAAGCGUGGGGAGCAAACAGG